This 321-nucleotide ribosomal RNA is filed under the name Triticum aestivum (bread wheat). RNAcentral's name for it is "partial small subunit ribosomal RNA". Lineage: Eukaryota; Viridiplantae; Streptophyta; Magnoliopsida; Poales; Poaceae. The record is from RNAcentral.
AUGUACUUCGACGGAUCCAAGAUGCUUACAGGCUCGGGGGCUGGGGUCAUCCUUAUUUUUCUCGAAAGCGGCAAGCUCAGAUAUGUACUGCAUAUUCACUUUGCUGCAUCUAACAACGUUGUGGAGUAUGAAGCCUUGUUGCAUGGCUUGUGGAUCGUUGUAUCAUUUGGCUUCCGUGGGCUGCUUUGCAGCGGAGAUUCAGAUCUUGUGGUACAACAAGUCAUGAAGGAUGGUGAUGCCAAGGAUCCUUCCAUGAUCGUAUAUCGAGAGGAAGUCGCAAGCUCGAAAAAAGUUCGAGGGCUUGGAGCUUCAUCAUGUUAG